GAGACCUGGGAGUGGGUUCCAGGCCACAUCCCGAUGUCACCCUAGAUGAGAAGGGUGUCGUGGACUCUGGAGUCGGGGAGACCUGGCUGUAAACCCUGCUCUGCCACUUACGGGCUUGACGGGCUCAGCAAAGUCACGUGACCUUCACGGAUCCUUCAGAAUUGCUGUGAGGAUUAAGGAUGACACAUGUGAUGUGCCUAAAACAAGGGAGAUUCUCGUUACCUGGCGGCUAAUCCUAUUUAAUUAGCUUCAUCUCUCAAAUAAAAUAAGCCCUCUGGGUCGAGUAAAAGGAAAUUCAAUUAGAAUUUGGGCCUUUCCAGUGGCGACAGGUGGCUCCCCUUGACAGAACGUGUGUUCACUGGUCUGUUCUGAGGCCCCCAGAGCUUGGGGUUGCUUCACACAUCUCGUUCUGGCCGGAUCUCGUCACCAGGCCCCAGGCCGGAGGCUGGGCGUCACCAGGAAGGCCACUCCUCACGCUCCGGCCUCUGCUGCCCUUCACCCCACCCCGACAUCCCGUAAGCUGCAGGAUAAAUGCCCGAGGUGCCUGGUGAAGACUUUGAGCACUGGUCCCCGUCCAGGCACUGUCACGGCUGACCAGAGAGCGGGCAGGGGCGCCUUUGACUCCCCAGCUCCCACUGUCCCCCAAGGAAGGCACUGGGUUUGUGGAAAGAUCCUCAGGAAAGAAACCAGUCCAUGGCCGCGGGCCCGAGGGAGGCAGACCGCCAGUUCUAGAAUCUCAGGAGGACACAUUCGUUCGGAUGGACGGAAGGACUUUCUACCGUGAUGACAAGACAUCACAGUCAAGGUCCUGCGAAAGCGAAUCUGUCUGAAGCAACCAGCCACUGACCCCCAGCACCAAGCUCCACCAACAGCCCCGAUGCGCCGUGGACAAACCAGCCACGCAGCGCUCCUCCGAAGACCUCGUUCCCGUCUGGUGUGUCGGCAUCGGGGAGCAGUCCUGCGCCGCGUUCCGACGCGGACCGCCCAGGGCCGAGUGGGGUCGGCGGGCCGGGUGUCAUCUUUCUUUUGCAAAGGAAGAGAUCACUUGCUCAAGGUUGCCUGCCCAGCAAGCAGCAGGCCGGGGAGAGGAACUGGGCCUUCUGGCUCCUUCUACUAAGCCUUGUCCAGAUAAGGAGGGAGUCCACGACGGUGGACACGAUCCUGCGAGAGCCUCUGGAGCCCAGAUUUGUACGGUGGAAGUGUCUGGCACCACUGGUGGGAGCAGAAUUUGGCACAAUUUUUAGGAGUAUAAUUUGGUAAUCUGCAUCAAAAAUUUUAAGAUUUAUUGACUAAUUAUUUUCACUGCUAGAAAUAUACCUUAAAGAGAUAAUCAGGAACGAGCACCUGGUUAAAAACUUAGACAUAGACUUACCCUGUGGGCUCAACAAUUCCACUCCUAGGCUCACGGCCCCCCAAAAUAAAGACAUCCAUACACACACACACACACACACACACACACACACACACUCAAAAUUGCAUGGAGACGUUAAUAGCAGCCUUGUUUAUAAUAGUCCCAAAGCGAAAAGCCAGUAUCCAUCAACUGUGGAAUGGACAAAUAAAAUGUGAUAUAUUCACACAGUGGAA
Molecule: long non-coding RNA, 1584 nt
Organism: Pteropus alecto (black flying fox)
Lineage: Eukaryota; Metazoa; Chordata; Mammalia; Chiroptera; Pteropodidae
Exons: 2
Source: RefSeq, a predicted model, not a curated record